This 253-nucleotide ribosomal RNA is filed under the name uncultured bacterium. Its description in RNAcentral is "partial 16S ribosomal RNA". It matches the Rfam family "Bacterial small subunit ribosomal RNA", at positions 524 to 776 of the family's 1533-position model. The record is from RNAcentral.
GACGUAGGGCGCGAGCGUUGUCCGGAUUUAUUGGGCGUAAAGAGCUCGUAGGCGGCUUGUCGCGUCGACCGUGAAAACUCGCAGCUCAACUGCGAGCCUGCGGUCGAUACGGGCGGGCUAGAGUUCGGUAGGGGAGACUGGAAUUCCUGGUGUAGCGGUGAAAUGCGCAGAUAUCAGGAGGAACACCGAUGGCGAAGGCAGGUCUCUGGGCCGAUACUGACGCUGAGGAGCGAAAGCGUGGGGAGCGAACAGG